This 465-nucleotide ribosomal RNA is filed under the name Vreelandella stevensii. RNAcentral's name for it is "partial 16S ribosomal RNA". It matches the Rfam family "Bacterial small subunit ribosomal RNA", at positions 338 to 795 of the family's 1533-position model. Lineage: Bacteria; Pseudomonadati; Pseudomonadota; Gammaproteobacteria; Oceanospirillales; Halomonadaceae. The record is from RNAcentral.
CCUACGGGGGGCUGCAGUGGGGAAUAUUGGACAAUGGGGGCAACCCUGAUCCAGCCAUGCCGCGUGUGUGAAGAAGGCCCUCGGGUUGUAAAGCACUUUCAGUGAGGAAGAACGCCUGGUGGUUAAUACCCAUCAGGAAAGACAUCACUCACAGAAGAAGCACCGGCUAACUCCGUGCCAGCAGCCGCGGUAAUACGGAGGGUGCGAGCGUUAAUCGGAAUUACUGGGCGUAAAGCGCGCGUAGGUGGCUUGAUAAGCCGGUUGUGAAAGCCCCGGGCUCAACCUGGGAACGGCAUCCGGAACUGUCAAGCUAGAGUGCAGGAGAGGAAGGUAGAAUUCCCGGUGUAGCGGUGAAAUGCGUAGAGAUCGGGAGGAAUACCAGUGGCGAAGGCGGCCUUCUGGACUGACACUGACACUGAGGUGGGAAAGCGUGGGUAGCAAACAGGAUUAGAUACCCUUGUAGUC